AGCUGAUCGGGUGGGAUAAGAAUGCUAGUCGUGCGCCUUCUAGCCCGAUGGAGGCGCGGCAUACAGCUCAGUAGCACGUGGCUAACCUGCCCUUGGGACGGAAACAACCCCGGGAAACUGGGGCCAAUUUCCGAUAGGUGAAGAUACCUGGAAUGGUUUUUUGCCCAAAAGACGUUUGGGUCAUGCUUCUAGACGUUGCCCAAGGAUGGGGCCGCGGCCGAUCAGGCUGUUGGUGAGGUAAUGGCUCACCAAACCUUUGACCGGUUCGGGCCGUGGGAGCGGUAGCCCGGAGAUGGGCACUGAGACAAGGGCCCAGGCCCUACGGGGCGCAGCAGUCGCGAAAACUUCGCAAUAAGCGAAAGCUUGACGGGGCCAUCCCGAGUGCCAUCUGCUGAGGAUGGCUUUUACCCAGUAUAGAUAGCUGGGGGAAUAAGGAGAGGGCAAGUCUGGUGUCAGCCGCCGCGGUAAUACCAGCUCUCCGAGUUGUGGGGACGUUUAUUGAGCCUGAAGCAUCCGUAGCCGGCUGGGCUAGUCCCCUGUUAAAUCCAGCGAUAAAUCGUUGGCCUGCGGGGGAUACUGCUCGGCUAGGGGGCGGGAGAGGCCGUCGGUAUUCUUGGGGUAGGGGUGAAAUCCUAUAAUCCCAGGAGGACCACCAGUGGCGAAGGCUGUCGGCUAGAACGCGCUCGACGGUGAGGGAUGAAAGCUGGGGGAGCGAACCGGAUUAGAUACCCGGGUAGUCCCAGCUGUAAACGAUGCAGGCUAGGUGUUAGGGCGGCUACGUGCCGCUCUAGUGCCGCAGGGAAGCUGUUAAGCCUGCCGCUUGGGGAGUACGGCCGCAAGGCUGAACUUAAAG
RNAcentral lists this ribosomal RNA (853 nucleotides) under uncultured archaeon. Its description in RNAcentral is "bacterial SSU rRNA". It matches the Rfam family "Archaeal small subunit ribosomal RNA", at positions 28 to 861 of the family's 1478-position model. The record is from RNAcentral.